This is a long non-coding RNA of Oncorhynchus tshawytscha (Chinook salmon), 562 nucleotides long. RefSeq lists it as uncharacterized. The record is from RefSeq and is a predicted model, not a curated record. The transcript is spliced from 3 exons. NCBI's taxonomy places the organism in Eukaryota, Metazoa, Chordata, Actinopteri, Salmoniformes, Salmonidae.
CACAUUCCAUGGAUUCCAGGUGACAGGUGAGCAAUGGCAUGUGGAAUCCUGGAGGACUUUGACAUAUCUGCUGAAUAUAACAGAGAAGGGUUCAUCAGUUGACAUAGUGCAGCCACUAUCCAUCAGUGAUCUGCUAGGAAGUGUGGACCUCACCAAGUUCUACCGCUACCAGGGUUCUCUGACCACCCCCACCUGCGAUGAAAUGGACCAUGUUCUUAGAACCAAUCAAGAUGCGGAGAGAUCUAGUGAGUGGUAACCUGACAUAGCAGGCAUAAAAGAAAAGCCUGAGCGGAGCUGGAAGAAACAGGAAGCAUCCGGUUUGAUUCUUCACCUCUGCUUCCUGAAAAACGUAUGCAACCCCGCUGAGGGUGGAGCUGUUUUCCUAAAACCCUGAAGUACAGAAACAUCUCCAGGCCAGUGCAACGCUUCCCCGGGUUGUCAGUGUCCCCACUGGGCCGCGUUUGCAGCGGCCAGACUUCCAGCAGGAGGGCUCUUGUCCGGCCUACAACUACUACUACUGGGCUGGGGGUGAGGCUGGACGCCCAGGGGGAGGGGUUGGUAU